AUUGGCAGGAGAUGGUCAAUGAUCAAGAAACUUGUGAAGUGGAUGUCUGGCCAGAGCUUCAGAAAAUAGCUAUGGAUAUCAUUUCACGGGUUGCAUUUGGAAGUAAUUAUGAAGAAGGAAAGAAGAUAUUUGAACUUCUGCAAGAGUCGCUGACGCUGACUUUUGAAGCUAUGCAGAUGGUGUAUAUUCCUGGUUUCAGAUUUGUUCCGACAAAGAAGAAUCGGAGGAGAUACAAAUUGGUCGCAGAGACCACAUCAAUGCUGAGAGAUUUAGUUGAGAGGAAACAGAAUGCUAUGAGAACUGGACAAUCAAGGGUUGAUGACUUGCUAAGCUUACUCUUGCAAUCUAAUGAACAGAACAGUCUUGGAAAUGCAAGUGGCAAAAAAGUUAAUGGGUUGACAAUUGAAGAGGUAAUAGAGGAAUGCAAGGUUUUCUAUCUCGCUGGCCAAGAAACAACCUCUAGCCUGUUGACAUGGACAAUGAUAGUGUUAUCUAUGCACCCAGACUGGCAAGAAAAGGCAAGGGAAGAAGUUCUACAAGUUUGUGGGAAGAGUGAGAACCUGAUUUUGAAGCUUUGAGUCAUCUCAAAGUUGUAACCAUGAUCCUGAAUGAAGUCCUAAGGUUAUAUCCACCAGGAAUUGCUCAACAUAGACAUACCU
RNAcentral lists this unclassified non-coding RNA (659 nucleotides) under Hevea brasiliensis (rubber tree). Lineage: Eukaryota; Viridiplantae; Streptophyta; Magnoliopsida; Malpighiales; Euphorbiaceae. The record is from RNAcentral.